AAGGUAAACAGAGAGUGUCAACCAUUAACUGAAGGGCCAGGCCAGUUUGAAGGAGGGUUUACCUGAAGACCCUGCUAAUUCUGUGGCCUGAAUGGCUGCUGAGAAAUAAGGGAAGUCGACAGAAACUGGUCCCCUGGCUUCUGCCCUUGACCUCCUGGGCACCCAGGCCAAGAAAGGACCAGGACAGAGGAUGGAGGAAACUGCUCCCAUAAUCUCCGAGCACAUCUCACCAGCCACAGCGACCGAGUUGAGAGCUUCAGACCUCAGCCGCGGAAUCAGCAGGCUGCUGGGAGCUCUGAUCAUUCCAUUGCAGAGCGGGGCUGCUUGCUGGGCCUGGCAAUCGCAAGGCUUUCUCAGAUGGCAUGCCGCGCAGCUCUGCCUCACAUGUGGAGUCCAUCAUCCAGCCCGUUCCUGGGCCUCAUUACAGAGCAAAAUGUGGCAUUUUGUACGGCUUUGAUCAAUGAGACAGCAUUGCUGUAUGGCUCAGAAACCAAAGGGGACAGCUUGCAUUAUAAAUGUUGCUUAAGACACACAGGCAAAAACUCUUCCCAAAACGGUCCACAGGAUUAAGGAAACGACUAACCCUGAAAAUGUGUAGACCAUCUCGAAAGUCCCCACCCCAUGGGCUCAGGCUGGGGAAAGUUUAUGCAAACUGUCUCCAGUUAAGGGCUGCUCGGAAAGAUGGAAGUGGUCCUGUGUUCAUAAUUGGUGUUGGUUUUCACAAAUCG
This is a long non-coding RNA of Ailuropoda melanoleuca (giant panda), 728 nucleotides long. RefSeq lists it as uncharacterized. The transcript is spliced from 2 exons. NCBI's taxonomy places the organism in Eukaryota, Metazoa, Chordata, Mammalia, Carnivora, Ursidae. The record is from RefSeq and is a predicted model, not a curated record.